Gallus gallus (chicken) is the source of this 106-nucleotide microRNA precursor. Lineage: Eukaryota; Metazoa; Chordata; Aves; Galliformes; Phasianidae. The record is from Ensembl.
UUCCGUAAGAACUAGGGCUUGUAAGAUUCAGAAAAGGAUAUGAAUUGUCCUUUCAGUGGUGACAAGUUGUAUUUCUUUUCUGACAGUGCGUCAGCGUCAAGAAGAG